UACAGAGGGUGCAAGCGUUAAUCGGAAUUACUGGGCGUAAAGGGUGCGUAGGUGGUUGAAUAAGUUAGGUGUGAAAGCCCCGGGCUUAACCUGGGAAUGGCGCCUAAUACUGUUUAGCUAGAGUACUGUAGAGGAAGGUGGAAUUUCCGGUGUAGCGGUGAAAUGCGCAGAUAUCAGGAGGAACACCGGUGGCGAAGGCGGGUCUCUGGGCCGAUACUGACGCUGAGGAGCGAAAGCGUGGGGAGCGAACAGG
Molecule: ribosomal RNA, 253 nt
Filed under: uncultured bacterium
Lineage: Bacteria
Description: partial 16S ribosomal RNA
Rfam family: Bacterial small subunit ribosomal RNA
Source: RNAcentral